AGAGUUUGAUCCUGGCUCAGGACGAACGCUGGCGGCGUGCUUAACACAUGCAAGUCGAACGGAAAGGCCCUGCUUUUGUGGGGUGCUCGAGUGGCGAACGGGUGAGUAACACGUGAGUAACCUGCCCUUGACUUUGGGAUAACUUCAGGAAACUGGGGCUAAUACCGGAUAGGAGCUCCUGCUGCAUGGUGGGGGUUGGAAAGUUUCGGCGGUUGGGGAUGGACUCGCGGCUUAUCAGCUUGUUGGUGGGGUAGUGGCUUACCAAGGCUUUGACGGGUAGCCGGCCUGAGAGGGUGACCGGCCACAUUGGGACUGAGAUACGGCCCAGACUCCUACGGGAGGCAGCAGUGGGGAAUAUUGCACAAUGGGCGGAAGCCUGAUGCAGCAACGCCGCGUGCGGGAUGACGGCCUUCGGGUUGUAAACCGCUUUCGCCUGUGACGAAGCGUGAGUGACGGUAAUGGGUAAAGAAGCACCGGCUAACUACGUGCCAGCAGCCGCGGUGAUACGUAGGGUGCGAGCGUUGUCCGGAUUUAUUGGGCGUAAAGGGCUCGUAGGUGGUUGAUCGCGUCGGAAGUGUAAUCUUGGGGCUUAACCCUGAGCGUGCUUUCGAUACGGGUUGACUUGAGGAAGGUAGGGGAGAAUGGAAUUCCUGGUGGAGCGGUGGAAUGCGCAGAUAUCAGGAGGAACACCAGUGGCGAAGGCGGUUCUCUGGGCCUUUCCUGACGCUGAGGAGCGAAAGCGUGGGGAGCGAACAGGCUUAGAUACCCUGGUAGUCC
This 777-nucleotide ribosomal RNA is filed under the name uncultured bacterium. RNAcentral's name for it is "bacterial SSU rRNA". It matches the Rfam family "Bacterial small subunit ribosomal RNA", at positions 8 to 796 of the family's 1533-position model. The record is from RNAcentral.